Molecule: ribosomal RNA, 253 nt
Filed under: uncultured prokaryote
Description: partial 16S ribosomal RNA
Rfam family: Bacterial small subunit ribosomal RNA
Source: RNAcentral
ACGAAGGGUGCAAGCGUUAAUCGGAAUUACUGGGCGUAAAGGGUGCGUAGGCGGUUCGUUAAGUCUGUUGUGAAAUCCCCGAGCUCAACUUGGGAAUUGCAAUGGAUACUGGCAGGCUGGAGUACGGUAGAGGAAGGUGGAAUUCCCGGUGUAGCAGUGAAAUGCGUAGAGAUCGGGAGGAACACCAGUGGCGAAGGCGACUUUCUGGUCUGUAACUGACGCUGAGGCGCGAAAGCGUGGGGAGCAAACAGGA